CUACGGGUUGCUCCAGUGGGGAAUAUUGCACAAUGGAGGAAACUCUGAUGCAGCAACGCCGCGUGGAGGAUGACACUUUUCGGAGCGUAAACUCCUUUUAUAUAGGAAGAAGAUGACGGUACUAUAUGAAUAAGCGCCGGCUAACUCCGUGCCAGCAGCCGCGGUGAUACGGAGGGCGCAAGCGUUACUCGGAAUCACUGGGCGUAAAGAGCGUGUAGGUGGAUUAAAAAGUCAGAAGUGAAAUCCUAUAGCUUAACUAUAGAACUGCUUCUGAAACUCUUAAUCUAGAAUAUGGGAGAGGUAGAUGGAAUUUCUGGUGUAGGGGUAAAAUCCGUAGAGAUCAGAAGGAAUACCGAUUGCGAAGGCGAUCUACUAGAACAUUAUUGACGCUGAGACGCGAAAGCGUGGGGAGCAAACAGGAUUAGAUACCCUAGUAGUC
Molecule: ribosomal RNA, 439 nt
Filed under: uncultured bacterium
Lineage: Bacteria
Description: partial 16S ribosomal RNA
Rfam family: Bacterial small subunit ribosomal RNA
Source: RNAcentral